CCGGGGGAUAGCUCAGGCGUAAGAGUAAGUAUGUCUGUUCACAAAGUUAACUCAAGAGGAUAAUAGAAUUUAGUGUAUUGAGAGUGAUAAUUUAUGAGUUGUGUGAAUGUGUAUAUAUGAAUGAAACGUACCUCCUUGUGAAGACUUACUCACUAAGAAAUAAUAUCCUUGCUUGGAUUAUCGUGCCGCCCACUAUCACCUGACAUAUCCCCUGACCUGAUGGGUUCGACCGACUGCAUGGAGUUCAUCCA
RNAcentral lists this long non-coding RNA (251 nucleotides) under Panax ginseng (ginseng). RNAcentral describes it as "long non-coding RNA (PGIN_LNC010712)". The record is from RNAcentral. Lineage: Eukaryota; Viridiplantae; Streptophyta; Magnoliopsida; Apiales; Araliaceae.